Molecule: unclassified non-coding RNA, 927 nt
Filed under: Hevea brasiliensis (rubber tree)
Lineage: Eukaryota; Viridiplantae; Streptophyta; Magnoliopsida; Malpighiales; Euphorbiaceae
Source: RNAcentral
AAGAAUUGCAUGCAAUUCUUUCCUUGAGUUGUCUUACACCAAAUACCAUGAAAGUUUGAAAAGAUGAUCACAAAACAGUAAGUUUUUAAGUGUUAUAUUGGCUCAAUAAAUUCUAAACUCCAUUAGUUGGGGGCAAAUAAGACUGAUGAGGUGAAGCUGGUGAGCCCUCUUCAAUGUCUAUAUCUUUCACACCAGCACUUAAUGAUGAAGAUGAGUCGCAUCUCCCAUCCUUUAGCUUAUUAUCACCAUUUUCAUCAUCAUCCUUGUCCUCAAAGAAAGAACCUUUCCGCCGGAGUUCCUUUACCUUUCGAAACUCAUCAUAGUGUGCUCGUCUGUGCUCCUUAAAACUUGCAUUCCUAUCUAAUUCAGAAUCUGGCAACAGUGAUUCAGAAUCUUCAUCUUGUUCCAUAGGAUCAGCCUCAUCCUCAGAUGAUGUCCAGCCACCAGAUCGCCUACCAGCGUUUCUACUGGAAGAAGCCACUGUAUCCAGUGCAGUCCGUAGUUCCUCUGCACGCAUUGCUUCACCAACAACAUCAUCAAAGCUGCCUCGCCUAGGAGACAGAGACCCAUCAUCAUCAAUCAUGGGGUGAUAAGGUGUCUUGGGUUCAGUUAUUUUCUGUCUCACGGGCUUAUUUGCUUCAAUUUCCCCUAUAUUUGCCUCAUCCCAUCUUACACGAGCCCUAUUACCUUUCAUUUUUAUGAACUUGCUAUCUCCUCUGUCACCAAUAAACACCAAGUAGUAGCUGAACGACCUGAUUCCACUGCGAAUUGCCCUUCCUGCUUGUUAUGUCUUGGAAUCGGCCCUUCGGUUUGUCUACUUUUCUUAUUGAACGAUGUUUUAUUUUCCAAUAAUACCCUUUUAUUCCAAUGCGUGAUGAAUCAGGUGGGGAUAGGCCCUGAUCUGGUUAUUACAACCGUACACUGUUU